This 271-nucleotide long non-coding RNA is filed under the name Homo sapiens (human). RNAcentral describes it as "non-protein coding lnc-FNDC8-1:1". The record is from RNAcentral. Lineage: Eukaryota; Metazoa; Chordata; Mammalia; Primates; Hominidae.
AUGAUGAAGGGAACAUCAUCGUUUGGAAAGCAUCACAAUAAGACGUGACAGGACGUACCACCUUCAGAAGUCGACCUGUGGCAAAUGUGGCUAUGCUGCCAAGCGCAAGAGGAAGUAUAACUGGAGUGCCAAGGCUAAAAGACAAACUACCACUGGAACUGGUCAAAUGAGGCACUUAAAAAUUGUAUACAGCAAAUUCGGGCAUGGAUUCUGUGAAAGAACACCACCUAAACCCAAGAGGGCAGCUGCUGCAGCAUCCAGUUCAUCUUAA